UUUGAUGUUUAAAAACAUACCCACACCGACCCUUCUUUUUAUCAGAUGACUAAAGGCUUCUUUUAAUUUCGCCUUCAGUUCCUCAAAACUGUGAAUACUCCCUGUAGGCAAAUCCGUACACCGGUUCAUGACCUCACCUUCUAAAGUUAAUUCUUACAAUCAUUCGGCAUCAUAAGUCUUUCCUAUCUGUUACAUUUUUCAUAUUAGCCAAAAUAAUUACCAUAUGUAUCUCUGGAUGAGUGGUCCCCUUAUACUCGGGUAACUUGGGUCUAACCCACUUCUCUUGGUACCUGCUUUCUGUGAGAUGGUUUGCUAUGGCGCUAUUUGCCUUAUGUGACCCAUGUUUGGCCACAUGCUUAUUGUUGUCUCUCCAAUACAAGUUUGUGUGCACAUCAUGGGCCUUGCUUAUUUAGCCUACUGCUUUUUACUAGCCCGCCUUCCGAUAAGUAAGCUACCUGCUUUUGCAAUUUUCUUACCUUGCACAAUAACUGUUCUUCCUUUUCCUUCUCCCUAUCGUAAUCUUUUCGUUCCUCGCGAUGUCGUAUCUUUGUCUCUCUCCUCUUACUCCGAUAAUCAUUAUCAUUUUUCCGAUUUGAACCUGCUUUGUUAGUUUUUCUUUCUUUUGAUUUUUUACCUAGUUCCUCAUAGGCGACAUCCGCUCUUUCUUUACAUCUCGCUAUGGGUUUCUUUUCGCGAACGUCAACUCCUCUGUCGAUAUCUCCAGUUUUGACUAUGUCGUCCUCUUCUCUUUUCUUACCCAGUGGAGUUUGGAACCUAAUUUUGAAUGUUUGGGACAUACCUUGCUCCGUCGUUAGCGGCCCGAUGAAAUCGAGUGGUAGCUCGUUCACGUCGGGUUCACCAUUGUUGAAAGUUGAGACUCAUAAUGAUUUUAUUUAAUCUUGGUUAUUUUACAAUUCAUCCCCUAAUUUGAUCCUAGCUUUGGAUUUUUAUAGACUCGUUGAUGGUUCCUAUCACGACGUGAUGUCUUUUUCAUAUGGACACUUGGUCGGUUCCUGACAGUUCUUCAUUGGGAGUGAUUAAUAUAAAGUGAUGUUUAUUCCCUAAACACUA
RNAcentral lists this long non-coding RNA (1071 nucleotides) under Zostera marina. RNAcentral's name for it is "long non-coding RNA (ZMAR_LNC005578)". The record is from RNAcentral. Lineage: Eukaryota; Viridiplantae; Streptophyta; Magnoliopsida; Alismatales; Zosteraceae.